AAAAAUAUUUUUUAUUUUAGUAUUUUUAAGAAUUAAUAUUUUAUAUUUUUUGUACUGUGAAGGAAUCUAUUUUUUAAAAUUUAAGUAUCUUUUAUUUUGAGUACCUUUUGCAUCAGGGUUUAUUAAAAUAAAUAAAUUAUUUUGUUUUCUCGAAAUUUUAAGAUUUAAGAUUGAAUGUAUUUUCAUGUAAUAAAAUGAUUUACAAUUUAAUUUUAGAGGUUAUAUGCCUUUCAUUUAGAGUGAUAUCUAGUUUUUUAAUAAAUGAAUUUAAUUCAUUCUUAAUUUAGUUUUAAUUUAAUUUUAUUUUUAUAAUAUAUUAAGUGAAGUUUAUGGGGGAUAAUCUCUGUAUAUUUUUUAAAAGUUUGUCUAUUAAAGAUUUUUUAUAGGAUUGAAAAUUUUCUUUAUUUAUUUUGUAAAAAUUAUUUUUCUUUUAUUUUGAUUUUUUAUUUUCUUUAAUUAUUUAUUAGAAUUUUUUUUAUAAUUUUAUUUAAAAAGUAAUAAUGAUAAAAUUAGUAAUUUUUAUAAUUUAUUAAUAGGAACUCGGCAAUUAUUAUUUUCACCUGUUUAACAAAAACAUGGUUUUUUGAUUUUUAAUAUAAAAUCGGACCUGCCCAUUGAUUAUAUAUUAAAAGGCUGCGGUAUUUUAACUGUACGAAGGUAGCAUAAUCAUUUGUCUUUUAAUUGGAGGCUGGAAUGAAUGGUUUGAUGAAAAAUAGACUUUCUUUUUAUAAUUUUUUUGAAUUUAAUUUUUUAGUUAAAAAGCUAAAAUUUUUUUAUAGGACGAGAAGACCCUAUAGAAGUUUACUAAUUUUUAUAUAAUUUUGUUUUUAGUUUAUAUUAUUUUUUUAUUUAAAAAUUAGUUUUGUUGGGGUGACAUUAAAAUUUAUUUAACUUUUAAUAAUUUUUUCAUUAAUUUAUGUUUUAUUUUGAUCCAAAAUUUUUUGAUUACAAGAUUAACUUACCUUAGGGAUAACAGCGUAAUUUUUUCGGAGAGUUCAUAUCGAUGAAUAAGUUUGCGACCUCGAUGUUGAAUUAAGAUUAGUAGCAGGUGUAAAAUUUUGCUUUCUUGGUCUGUUCGACCAUUAAAUUCUUACAUGAUUUGAGUUCAGACCGGCGUGAGCCAGGUCGGUUUCUAUCCUUAUUUUAUGUAAAUUAGUACGAAAGGACCAUUUACAUUAAUUAAAUUAUUUAAUUUUUGAAUAAAAUUA
This 1208-nucleotide ribosomal RNA is filed under the name Trepobates sp. XD-2019. Its description in RNAcentral is "16S ribosomal RNA". The stretch from base 969 to 1127 matches the Rfam family "Archaeal large subunit ribosomal RNA", at positions 2544 to 2703 of the family's 2987-position model. Lineage: Eukaryota; Metazoa; Arthropoda; Insecta; Hemiptera; Gerridae. The record is from RNAcentral.